AUGAACGCUGGCGGCGUGCCUAAUACAUGCAAGUCGAGCGAACAGAUAAGGAGCUUGCUCCUCUGACGUUAGCGGCGGACGGGUGAGUAACACGUGGAUAACCUACCUAUAAGACUGGGAUAACUUCGGGAAACCGGAGCUAAUACCGGAUAACAUAUUGAACCGCAUGGUUCAAUAGUGAAAGGCGGCUUUGCUGUCACUUAUAGAUGGAUCCGCGCCGUAUUAGCUAGUUGGUAAGGUAACGGCUUACCAAGGCAACGAUACGUAGCCGACCUGAGAGGGUGAUCGGCCACACUGGAACUGAGACACGGUCCAGACUCCUACGGGAGGCAGCAGUAGGGAAUCUUCCGCAAUGGGCGAAAGCCUGACGGAGCAACGCCGCGUGAGUGAUGAAGGUCUUCGGAUCGUAAAACUCUGUUAUCAGGGAAGAACAAAUGUGUAAGUAACUGUGCACAUCUUGACGGUACCUGAUCAGAAAGCCACGGCUAACUACGUG
Molecule: ribosomal RNA, 496 nt
Filed under: uncultured bacterium
Lineage: Bacteria
Description: partial 16S ribosomal RNA
Rfam family: Bacterial small subunit ribosomal RNA
Source: RNAcentral